Molecule: ribosomal RNA, 465 nt
Filed under: Vreelandella stevensii
Lineage: Bacteria; Pseudomonadati; Pseudomonadota; Gammaproteobacteria; Oceanospirillales; Halomonadaceae
Description: partial 16S ribosomal RNA
Rfam family: Bacterial small subunit ribosomal RNA
Source: RNAcentral
CCUACGGGGGGCAGCAGUGGGGAAUAUUGGACAAUGGGGGCAACCCUGAUCCAGCCAUGCCGCGUGUGUGAAGAAGGCCCUCGGGUUGUAUAGCACUUUCAGUGAGGAAGAACGCCUGGUGGUUAAUACCCAUCAGGAAAGACAUCACUCACAGAAGAAGCACCGGCUAACUCCGUGCCAGCAGCCGCGGUAAUACGGAGGGUGCGAGCGUUAAUCGGAAUUACUGGGCGUAAAGCGCGCGUAGGUGGCUUGAUAAGCCGGUUGUGAAAGCCCCGGGCUCAACCUGGGAACGGCAUCCGGAACUGUCAAGCUAGAGUGCAGGAGAGGAAGGUAGAAUUCCCGGUGUAGCGGUGAAAUGCGUAGAGAUCGGGAGGAAUACCAGUGGCGAAGGCGGCCUUCUGGACUGACACUGACACUGAGGUGCGAAAGCGUGGGUAGCAAACAGGAUUAGAUACCCGGGUAGUC